Sorex araneus (European shrew) is the source of this 134-nucleotide small nucleolar RNA. RefSeq annotates it as small nucleolar RNA SNORA70. The record is from RefSeq and is a predicted model, not a curated record. Lineage: Eukaryota; Metazoa; Chordata; Mammalia; Eulipotyphla; Soricidae. The transcript has a single exon.
CUGCAGUCAGUAAAGCCAGGUAAGCCCCUUCCCCCUUGUAGUCUGGAGUACAGACUCUGUACAUAGCAGCUUUCUUUGGCGUGUCUGCACCAUGUUGCUCACAGGGGUUGUCCUAAAGGACCUGGGAGAUUUCC